This is a long non-coding RNA of Canis lupus familiaris (dog), 2330 nucleotides long. RefSeq lists it as uncharacterized. NCBI's taxonomy places the organism in Eukaryota, Metazoa, Chordata, Mammalia, Carnivora, Canidae. The record is from RefSeq and is a predicted model, not a curated record. The transcript has 11 exons.
UAUUGAUCGAGUGAAGAGUUUUGGAGUAGAAACCAGAGGAUAAGCAUCCAGAAAACUAGGAUAAAAAAUAUUCGAGGACUCAGAACCCUCAGAGUUGAGAAAGGAGGCCAAAAAUUACAACUCCACAUGGGACUGGUCUUUAUGAGUGAUGUAGAGGAUCCAUAGGAAGACUGGUCAUGUGAUGAGCACUUUUAUUUCUUACGAAAAGUGACUAUUGAACUUACUCUUUAAUUGUUAACCUAGGAAGCACUUCUUCACUUUAAACCGACCACUUACAAAAGUAGCAGGUGAAGGUUUCUCUGUGGACUGGGCGACAGAUAGGAGGACCAGAAUAAGUGGUUAACUUGGAUUGACCUUCUGAACAGCUGCCCCAUUAAACUUCAGAGACAGCACAUCCCCAUUGCUGCAAUCAAGUGACUACAGCUGAAUGUGUAGUGUCUAGAUGAUGCCCAUGUGACAACUGAAGGCUGGCUCUGAUGGAUGACUUAGGUAACCUCUGGAGGGUACCCACAUUGUGACCAUAAACCACCAUGCCCAUAUGGAAAACAUUGCAAUCCUGGGGCAAAAGAUAAACUUCAUGCCUGAUAAAAAUGAGAAGGUAGAAUCUCUGGAGUCUGAGAUGUUGUGCUGAAAAGGAAGGAUGUGUGUUACAAACUACCACAUUUCCCUGGAAGAAGCUGAUCGUCAUAUGAAAGUCUACUGAUGAGUUUAAGCAGGACCAAUUGCACAAUGCAUAAAAAAAUAUCAUCAUAGGCCAUAUGGUAGAGGAGAAAGAUCAUUCUACUAUGAAUGAGGAUAUUCUAUGUACUUGUAGUUUUUAAAAAAAGCAGUGUGAACUUGAGAAUCUCAGACUUCGUAACUGGCAAGGAUUCUGGACCACAACAUCCUGCAAUGUCCUGGUGAUAACUUUCCUUCCAGACAGAUAUCAGCUGAGCACAGUGUACCAUCAGCUGCCCACACUGAGAGAAACAAAUCAGAAAACCGCUGUUCCAUAAUCACAGAAUUGAAAGAACUGCAUACCCUCCGGACAAUGCCUCAUGUCACCAACACCAGCAGUGCCAUGGCCAUCAGUGCAGCAGAAGUGACUUGCUUCCAGAUCCUGCUUCCAGUGGCUGUCACACUGGGCUUUGAGGUCAAUGAUUAUAUGCCUCUGACAAUGCCCCUGCCCUUUGGCACUGCACAAGGGGUGAAGGGAGGAAGAAUACACCUGUUUAUUAUGUAUGCCACUAAAUUCUACCAUUUUGUAUUUGGUUGCUGAAAGUUCUGAAAAUGGCAUCAAACUUCACAGCACAAGUGAAAAUGAGCUGUUGUCCAUAACUGUACAAAGAUUUACAGGUAUCAAGGCAUAUUUUUGGGAAAUAUUGUGGGACUGGUCUUUACUAAUCAUUAGAUGAAACUGGUAUCAACUGAGAUGUUCACUGCCUUGGAUCCUUGGUCUCACCACAUCCCCACUGUUCUGGAACUCUGGCAUCGGCUUCUAUAUUAACCUCCUCAUUUACAAACAGCACCUUUUAUUUUCAGUGGCUGUGAAUAAUUUUGAAUAUCUAGCACAAAUAGGUAAGUUGAACAAAUAUAUUAACAAAUAAACCUUUAGCUUGAAGGAUUAAAAAGCCGAUAGUAAAGAAGUCCUGCACCAAAUUCAGAGAGAAUAAGCAAAUCUCGAAUGGCAAUGAGACUAGACUCUAUGAAUGUAUUUCCCCUAGGGCCAUUUUCCAAUUCCAAAAUAAGUUAUCAAGAUGCUACACAAUGUGUGACAGUCUUAUGUGUCUCAGAGAACAAGGGUUGGAAGUCUCAAGUCUCUCAAAAGUAGGAAAGGAUCUGAUAAACUCUCUACUACUUCAUUUGGGACACUGAAAUUCUGCUUCCUAGGAAUAAAGAUGAAUUAGAAAUAGAAUAGCCCUCACGGGGAAUGAAACCUAACACCAAGUUACCUAACACUGCAAAGGAAAUUACAAUUAUCUCAGACUGCAGGUAUUCCCAGGAAUCUGGCAAAAGCAAAUAGAAAUUCUGUUUGGAGAAAUACACCAUAAUUCUAGGCCUCAAAUUAUUUUGUUUUUCUGACUUUCAAAGAUUUUGUGAUCAGCUCUGGAGUGUGGCCUGAGAUUUUGAAUCUCUAAUAAAUUUCUAGGUGAGGAUGAUGUUGGUGCUCAGAUAAUUACUCAUUUGGACCAAGAAUAAAGCUUAUACUACAUAUGUUUAAGUAAUAACCCAGAGACUAAAGUGCAUGCUUUACUACUCUAUGAUUUAAUGUAAAAUUUAUGAUUUAAUAUAAAAAUAUAAUUAUAUAUUAAAGUAUGAAAAUACUAAACAACCACUUUCUCUCUCUUUCU